RNAcentral lists this ribosomal RNA (461 nucleotides) under uncultured bacterium. RNAcentral describes it as "SSU rRNA". It matches the Rfam family "Bacterial small subunit ribosomal RNA", at positions 26 to 518 of the family's 1533-position model. The record is from RNAcentral.
AGAGCGAACGCUGGCGGCAGGCCUAAUACAUGCAAGUCGAACGGACCCUUCGGGGUUAGUGGCGGACGGGUGAGUAACACGUGGGAACGUGCCCUUUGGUUCGGAACAACUCAGGGAAACUUGAGCUAAUACCGAAUGUGCCCCCAUCCUUAAACAAGAUGGGUGGGAAAGAUUUAUCGCCAUUGGAGCGGCCCGCGUCUGAUUAGCUAGUUGGUGAGGUAAAGGCUCACCAAGGCGACGAUCAGUAGCUGGUCUGAGAGGAUGAUCAGCCACACUGGGACUGAGACACGGCCCAGACUCCUACGGGAGGCAGCAGUAGGGAAUCUUGCGCAAUGGGCGAAAGCCUGACGCAGCCAUGCCGCGUGAAUGAUGAAGGUCUUAGGAUUGUAAAAUUCUUUCAGCGGGGACGAUAAUGACGGUACCGCAGAAGAACGCCCGGCUAACUUCGUGCCAGCAGCCGC